AGAGGGCAGAUCCAACUGAGAGACUCAAGGUGUAAAAACACAGAAUGGAGUGUUUUCUAGGCAGCCAAUGCAAAGGCACUCCCAGAAAACAAGAGAUUCUCUAGAGAGGUAUGGUAAAACAGGGUGAGAGUAGUUUAAAAGUGAUAAGCUGGAAAGUCUAAAAUAAGCAGGAGACUAGUCAUCAUUGUCAAAAGAGUCUGAAUGAACUUGGCUCAUUAUUGAUUAAAAGGAACUUCCCAUAUGACAGUUUAAAAGUUAAUAAGGAGCUGAUUACACGAACACAUUAUAACUCCAAAAGGUAUUUAGCAUACCCAUAAUUUGAUGUUUAACAUUUCAAAAGCAGUUAAGUUUCAUUUUUUAAAAAUCCUACUAAUUUCUCUGCUUCCUCCCCACUUCCCUUCCCACACACUCAAACCUUUCCGUAAACUUGAGAAACUUGACAUAUUUAGUUGUCUCAUCCCUCAUACAACUAAUUUUGCCAAAUAUGAGUCUUACUGAAAUAGAAAUUCUUUGGCCACUUUUACACUGUUCCCAAAUGCUUAAAAUGGUUUAAUGAGCACAGGAAAAAUGACCAAUACUUUUAAUAUAAUAUUAAGCUAUAAUUACAUAAAAAUAAUUAUUCAACUAAAGGAUCAAAAGUUUCAGAUAAGCAAGCACUUCUCUACAUAAUGCAGUCACCCUGGUUUUUUAUUUUGAGCACCAAGUAUUAAAAUUACAAUUAAUUAAAUACUGCCCCGCCACACACAUACUUUUAACUCUCUUAUGUAUUUAUUAAACACAUGCUACAUGUCAGACACUGCACUCAACAUCCACUAUUCCAUGUAAUCCUCUCAAAAGCCCAUCUGAAGGAUGCUAAGAUCAGACAGAAGUUCAGAGGCAAGCAAUUCAAACCAAAGUCAGUUUCUACUGUGCCACUCUACAUUCUUAAGAAAAAAUGCCUUCAUGACCAACACCUGGGGAAAAAAACUCUUCUCUCAUAGCAGCCUGAAUCUACAGAUGCUUGUCGCUGUCACCCCACCUUCAUCCCCAUAUGCAUCCUUCCAACCCAGGCAGAGAGGAUGACUUACCGCAUUGGAACAUAGCACCCUUGCCCCAGCCUUUCCUAUUCCUUCCCUGUUUUUGCGUAGAUAAGCCCACUCAUUAUUGCCAUUAAAAUUUCUUAACAUACAUAACAUAAACUGAGUUAAUCAUAAGCGUGUACAGCUCUGUGUUUACUUACCAAGACACAGAUGCGCCAGGCAUUUCCAUUCUGACCCUUUCCAAUCAAUAACCUCUGUCCAAAGGUGACUGCUCUUGUUUUCCAUUACCAUGGAAUUUCUAUUACCAUGCUUCUUUUGUACUUUUUGCAAAUGAAAUCCUUUAGUAUGUAUGCUUUUGUAUUUGGCUUCUUUUGCUCAACAUAUAUCCACUCAAUGCUGAAAACACAAGGCUCACUUCCUCCAGUGGGGGCUCCUCUGAUACAUAAACCAAUCCUUCCAUCUCCAUCCCAGUCUGAUAAUCCUGUUUCUAGGGCACCCCUCUGCACAAUUCUAUUAUAUUGCUGGUCAACAGUAAGCCUCAUAAAAGCAGGCAGCUUAUCCAUUUGGUUCACUGCAUUAUCUCUACAACAUUGCCCAACACGUAACAGGGGCUCAGUAUAUGUCUGCUAAUGAAUGAAUUAUAUAACUCAUCACAUAUUGAGCCCAAUCAUUUACUGACUCAUCUGCUUCUCUUACCAGGCUAUAAACUCCAGAAUGGCAGGAAUUGGGCCUUGUUCUAAAUAAUAUUCUGAAGCACCUAUGUGUCAGAGGACAAAGCAAGUCUGGUAUGUUAAGCACCUAACCCAGGCAGUCUGAAAUCAAAGAGGUGGUGUUACGCAGCAGGUGUUUACAAAAUAAUGAUGGAAGGCAGGAAGGGUGGAAACUGUGGUAUCUUGAAAGACAGGCAUUUUCAAAGAUUAAGAUGAGGCUGGGCCUUGAUCAAGAUGGUGUGUCAAGUAGUAAUAUGCACAAUUUAUAUAGAA
Molecule: long non-coding RNA, 2002 nt
Filed under: Homo sapiens (human)
Lineage: Eukaryota; Metazoa; Chordata; Mammalia; Primates; Hominidae
Description: HSALNT0315504
Source: RNAcentral